GCUCAGGACGAACGCUGGCGGCGUGCCUAAUACAUGCAAGUCGAGCGGACAGAUGGGAGCUUGCUCCCUGAUGUUAGCGGCGGACGGGUGAGUAACACGUGGGUAACCUGCCUGUAAGACUGGGAUAACUCCGGGAAACCGGGGCUAAUACCGGAUGGUUGUCUGAACCGCAUGGUUCAGACAUAAAAGGUGGCUUCGGCUACCACUUACAGAUGGACCCGCGGCGCAUUAGCUAGUUGGUGAGGUAACGGCUCACCAAGGCGACGAUGCGUAGCCGACCUGAGAGGGUGAUCGGCCACACUGGGACUGAGACACGGCCCAGACUCCUACGGGAGGCAGCAGUAGGGAAUCUUCCGCAAUGGACGAAAGUCUGACGGAGCAACGCCGCGUGAGUGAUGAAGGUUUUCGGAUCGUAAAGCUCUGUUGUUAGGGAAGAACAAGUGCCGUUCAAAUAGGGCGGCACCUUGACGGUACCUAACCAGAAAGCCACGGCUAACUACGUGCCAGCAGCCGCGGUAAUACGUAGGUGGCAAGCGUUGUCCGGAAUUAUUGGGCGUAAAGGGCUCGCAGGCGGUUUCUUAAGUCUGAUGUGAAAGCCCCCGGCUCAACCGGGGAGGGUCAUUGGAAACUGGGGAACUUGAGUGCAGAAGAGGAGAGUGGAAUUCCACGUGUAGCGGUGAAAUGCGUAGAGAUGUGGAGGAACACCAGUGGCGAAGGCGACUCUCUGGUCUGUAACUGACGCUGAGGAGCGAAAGCGUGGGGAGCGAACAGGAUUAGAUACCCUGGUAGUCCACGCCGUAAACGAUGAGUGCUAAGUGUUAGGGGGUUUCCGCCCCUUAGUGCUGCAGCUAACGCAUUAAGC
RNAcentral lists this ribosomal RNA (862 nucleotides) under Bacillus subtilis. RNAcentral describes it as "bacterial SSU rRNA". It matches the Rfam family "Bacterial small subunit ribosomal RNA", at positions 22 to 865 of the family's 1533-position model. The record is from RNAcentral. Lineage: Bacteria; Bacillati; Bacillota; Bacilli; Caryophanales; Bacillaceae.